Molecule: ribosomal RNA, 119 nt
Filed under: Pteropus alecto (black flying fox)
Lineage: Eukaryota; Metazoa; Chordata; Mammalia; Chiroptera; Pteropodidae
Source: RNAcentral
GUCUACAGCCACGCCACCCUGUACACGCCCUCUCUCAUCUGAUCUCGGAAGCUAAGUAGGGUUGGGCCUGGUUAGUACUUGGAUAGGAGACCAUUUUGGAAGACCAGGUGCUGCAGGCA